This 73-nucleotide transfer RNA is filed under the name Felis catus (domestic cat). It matches the Rfam family "tRNA". Rfam says of the family: Transfer RNA (tRNA) molecules are approximately 80 nucleotides in length. Their secondary structure includes four short double-helical elements and three loops (D, anti-codon, and T loops). The record is from Rfam by way of RNAcentral. Lineage: Eukaryota; Metazoa; Chordata; Mammalia; Carnivora; Felidae. RNAcentral also lists the same sequence under 4 other names.
GCCUGGCUGGCUCAGUUGGAAGAGCAUGUGAUUCUUGAUCUCAAGAUUGUGAAUUCAAGCCCCAUGUUAGGUG